GAGUUUGAUCCUGGCUCAGAUUGAACGCUGGCGGCAUGCCUUACACAUGCAAGUCGAACGGCAGCACGGGAGCUUGCUCCUGGUGGCGAGUGGCGAACGGGUGAGUAAUGCAUCGGAACGUAUCCUGGAGUGGGGGAUAACGUAGCGAAAGUUACGCUAAUACCGCAUAUUCUGUGAGCAGGAAAGCGGGGGACCUUCGGGCCUCGCGCUCUUGGAGCGGCCGAUGUCGGAUUAGCUAGUUGGUGAGGUAAAGGCUCACCAAGGCGACGAUCCGUAGCAGGUCUGAGAGGAUGAUCUGCCACACUGGAACUGAGACGCGGUCCAGACUCCUACGGGAGGCAGCAGUGGGGAAUUUUGGACAAUGGGGGCAACCCUGAUCCAGCCAUGCCGCGUGAGUGAA
This 400-nucleotide ribosomal RNA is filed under the name bacterium enrichment culture clone ALO1_GLFRUDD03F3BRN. RNAcentral's name for it is "bacterial SSU rRNA". It matches the Rfam family "Bacterial small subunit ribosomal RNA", at positions 9 to 409 of the family's 1533-position model. The record is from RNAcentral.